UUUAUGGAGAGUUUGAUCCUGGCUCAGGAUGAACGCUGGCGGCGUGCCUAAUACAUGCAAGUCGAGCGAACGGACGAGAAGCUUGCUUCUCUGAUGUUAGCGGCGGACGGGUGAGUAACACGUGGAUAACCUACCUAUAAGACUGGGAUAACUUCGGGAAACCGGAGCUAAUACCGGAUAAUAUUUUGAACCGCAUGGUUCAAAAGUGAAAGACGGUCUUGCUGUCACUUAUAGAUGGAUCCGCGCUGCAUUAGCUAGUUGGUAAGGUAACGGCUUACCAAGGCAACGAUGCAUAGCCGACCUGAGAGGGUGAUCGGCCACACUGGAACUGAGACACGGUCCAGACUCCUACGGGAGGCAGCAGUAGGGAAUCUUCCGCAAUGGGCGAAAGCCUGACGGAGCAACGCCGCGUGAGUGAUGAAGGUCUUCGGAUCGUAAAACUCUGUUAUUAGGGAAGAACAUAUGUGUAAGUAACUGUGCACAUCUUGACGGUACCUAAUCAGAAAGCCACGGCUAACUACGUGCCAGCAGCCGCGGUAAUACGUAGGUGGCAAGCGUUAUCCGGAAUUAUUGGGCGUAAAGCGCGCGUAGGCGGUUUUUUAAGUCUGAUGUGAAAGCCCACGGCUCAACCGUGGAGGGUCAUUGGAAACUGGAAAACUUGAGUGCAGAAGAGGAAAGUGGAAUUCCAUGUGUAGCGGUGAAAUGCGCAGAGAUAUGGAGGAACACCAGUGGCGAAGGCGACUUUCUGGUCUGUAACUGACGCUGAUGUGCGAAAGCGUGGGGAUCAAACAGGAUUAGAUACCCUGGUAGUCCACGCCGUAAACGAUGAGUGCUAAGUGUUAGGGGGUUUCCCGCCCCUUAGUGCUGCAGCUAACGCAUUAAGCACUCCGCCUGGGGAGUACGACCGCAAGGUUGAAACUCAAAGGAAUUGACGGGGACCCGCACAAGCGGUGGAGCAUGUGGUUUAAUUCGAAGCAACGCGAAGAACCUUACCAAAUCUUGACAUCCUUUGACAACUCUAGAGAUAGAGCUUUCCCCUUCGGGGGACAAAGUGACAGGUGGUGCAUGGUUGUCGUCAGCUCGUGUCGUGAGAUGUUGGGUUAAGUCCCGCAACGAGCGCAACCCUUAAGCUUAGUUGCCAUCAUUAAGUUGGGCACUCUAAGUUGACUGCCGGUGACAAACCGGAGGAAGGUGGGGAUGACGUCAAAUCAUCAUGCCCCUUAUGAUUUGGGCUACACACGUGCUACAAUGGACAAUACAAAGGGCAGCGAAACCGCGAGGUCAAGCAAAUCCCAUAAAGUUGUUCUCAGUUCGGAUUGUAGUCUGCAACUCGACUACAUGAAGCUGGAAUCGCUAGUAAUCGUAGAUCAGCAUGCUACGGUGAAUACGUUCCCGGGUCUUGUACACACCGCCCGUCACACCACGAGAGUUUGUAACACCCGAAGCCGGUGGAGUAACCUUUUAGGAGCUAGCCGUCGAAGGUGGGACAAAUGAUUGGGGUGAAGUCGUAACAAGGUAGCCGUAUCGGAAGGUGCGGCUGGAUCACCUCCUUUCU
Molecule: ribosomal RNA, 1555 nt
Filed under: Staphylococcus aureus
Lineage: Bacteria; Bacillati; Bacillota; Bacilli; Caryophanales; Staphylococcaceae
Description: 16S ribosomal RNA
Rfam family: Bacterial small subunit ribosomal RNA
Source: RNAcentral